GAUGAACGCUAGCGGCAGGCCUAAUACAUGCAAGUCGAACGGGAUCCAGAUCAAAGCUUGCUUUGGUUUGGUGAGAGUGGCGCACGGGUGCGUAACGCGUGAGCAACCUACCCUUGUCAGGGGGAUAGCCCGGCGAAAGUCGGAUUAAUACCGCAUGACAUCAUUGAGAGGCAUCUUUCGAUGAUCAAAGAUUUAUCGGACAAGGAUGGGCUCGCGNGACAUUAGCUAGUUGGUAAGGUAACGGCUUACCAAGGCUACGAUGUCUAGGGGCUCUGAGAGGAGAAUCCCCCACACUGGUACUGAGACACGGACCAGACUCCUACGGGAGGCAGCAGUAAGGAAUAUUGGUCAAUGGACGGAAGUCUGAACCAGCCAUGCCGCGUGCAGGAAGACGGCCCUAGUGGGUUGUAAACUGUCUUUUAUACGGGAACAAACGUCGGUACGUGUACCGGUCUGAGUGUACCGUAAGAAUAAGGAUCGGCUAACUCCGUGCCAGCCGCCGCC
This 504-nucleotide ribosomal RNA is filed under the name uncultured bacterium. Its description in RNAcentral is "bacterial SSU rRNA". It matches the Rfam family "Bacterial small subunit ribosomal RNA", at positions 28 to 519 of the family's 1533-position model. The record is from RNAcentral.